RNAcentral lists this ribosomal RNA (454 nucleotides) under uncultured bacterium. RNAcentral describes it as "partial 16S ribosomal RNA". It matches the Rfam family "Bacterial small subunit ribosomal RNA", at positions 28 to 507 of the family's 1533-position model. The record is from RNAcentral.
GAUGAACGCUGACAGCAUGCUUAACACAUGCAAGUCAACUUGAACUUCGGUUUGGGUGGCGGACGGGUGAGUAACGCGUAAAGAACUUGCCUCACAGAUAGGGACAACAUUUGGAAACGAAUGCUAAUACCUGAUAUUAUGAUUAUAUGGCAUCGUAUAAUUAUGAAAGCUCUAUGCGCUGUGAGAGAGCUUUGCGUCCCAUUAGCUAGUUGGCGAGGUAACGGCUCACCAAGGCGAGGAUGGGUAGCCGGCCUGAGAGGGUGAUCGGCCACAAGGGGACUGAGACACGGCCCUUACUCCUACGGGAGGCAGCAGUGGGGAAUAUUGGACAAUGGACCAAGGGUCUGAUCCAGCAAUUCUGUGUGCACGAUGAAGUUUUUCGGAAUGUAAAGUGCUUUCAGUUGGGAAGAAAAAAAUGACGGUACCAACAGAAGAAGUGACGGCUAAAUACGUG